CAAGUGAAGAAGCGCAUACGGUGGAUGCCUUGGCAGUCAGAGGCGAUGAAAGACGUGGUAGCCUGCGAAAAGCUUCGGGGAGUCGGCAAACAGACUUUGAUCCGGAGAUCUCUGAAUGGGGGAACCCACCUAGGAUAACCUAGGUAUCUUGUACUGAAUCCAUAGGUGCAAGAGGCGAACCAGGGGAACUGAAACAUCUAAGUACCCUGAGGAAAAGAAAUCAACCGAGAUUCCCUUAGUAGUGGCGAGCGAACGGGGAUUAGCCCUUAAGCUUCAUUGAUUUUAGCGGAACGCUCUGGAAAGUGCGGCCAUAGUGGGUGAUAGCCCCGUACGCGAAAGGAUCUUUGAAGUGAAAUCGAGUAGGACGGAGCACGAGAAACUUUGUCUGAACAUGGGGGGACCAUCCUCCAAGGCUAAAUACUACUGACUGACCGAUAGUGAACCAGUACCGUGAGGGAAAGGCGAAAAGAACCCCGGAGAGGGGAGUGAAAUAGAACCUGAAACCGUAUGCGUACAAGCAGUGGGAGCCUACUUGUUAGGUGACUGCGUACCUUUGUAUAAUGGGUCAGCGACUUAUAUUCAGUGGCAAGCUUAACCGUAUAGGGUAGGCGUAGCGAAAGCGAGUCUUAAUAGGGCGUUUAGUCGCUGGGUAUAGACCCGAAACCGGGCGAUCUAUCCAUGAGCAGGUUGAAGGUUAGGUAACACUGACUGGAGGACCGAACCCACUCCCGUUGAAAAGGUAGGGGAUGACUUGUGGAUCGGAGUGAAAGGCUAAUCAAGCUCGGAGAUAGCUGGUUCUCCUCGAAAGCUAUUUAGGUAGCGCCUCAUGUAUCACUCUGGGGGGUAGAGCACUGUUUCGGCUAGGGGGUCAUCCCGACUUACCAAACCGAUGCAAACUCCGAAUACCCAGAAGUGCCGAGCAUGGGAGACACACGGCGGGUGCUAACGUCCGUCGUGAAAAGGGAAACAACCCAGACCGCCAGCUAAGGUCCCAAAGUUGUGGUUAAGUGGUAAACGAUGUGGGAAGGCUUAGACAGCUAGGAGGUUGGCUUAGAAGCAGCCACCCUUUAAAGAAAGCGUAAUAGCUCACUAGUCGAGUCGGCCUGCGCGGAAGAUGUAACGGGGCUCAAACCACACACCGAAGCUGCGGGUGUCACGUAAGUGACGCGGUAGAGGAGCGUUCUGUAAGCCUGUGAAGGUGAGUUGAGAAGCUUGCUGGAGGUAUCAGAAGUGCGAAUGCUGACAUGAGUAACGACAAUGGGUGUGAAAAACACCCACGCCGAAAGACCAAGGGUUCCUGCGCAACGUUAAUCGACGCAGGGUUAGUCGGUUCCUAAGGCGAGGCUGAAAAGCGUAGUCGAUGGGAAACAGGUUAAUAUUCCUGUACUUCUGGUUACUGCGAUGGAGGGACGGAGAAGGCUAGGCCAGCUUGGCGUUGGUUGUCCAAGUUUAAGGUGGUAGGCUGAAAUCUUAGGUAAAUCCGGGGUUUCAAGGCCGAGAGCUGAUGACGAGUCGUCUUUUAGAUGACGAAGUGGUUGAUGCCAUGCUUCCAAGAAAAGCUUCUAAGCUUCAGGUAACCAGGAACCGUACCCCAAACCGACACAGGUGGUCGGGUAGAGAAUACCAAGGCGCUUGAGAGAACUCGGGUGAAGGAACUAGGCAAAAUGGCACCGUAACUUCGGGAGAAGGUGCGCCGGCUAGGGUGAAGGAUUUACUCCGUAAGCUCUGGCUGGUCGAAGAUACCAGGCCGCUGCGACUGUUUAUUAAAAACACAGCACUCUGCAAACACGAAAGUGGACGUAUAGGGUGUGACGCCUGCCCGGUGCCGGAAGGUUAAUUGAUGGGGUUAGCGCAAGCGAAGCUCUUGAUCGAAGCCCCGGUAAACGGCGGCCGUAACUAUAACGGUCCUAAGGUAGCGAAAUUCCUUGUCGGGUAAGUUCCGACCUGCACGAAUGGCGUAACGAUGGCGGCGCUGUCUCCACCCGAGACUCAGUGAAAUUGAAAUCGCUGUGAAGAUGCAGUGUAUCCGCGGCUAGACGGAAAGACCCCGUGAACCUUUACUGUAGCUUUGCACUGGACUUUGAGCCUGCUUGUGUAGGAUAGGUGGGAGGCUUUGAAGCGUGGACGCCAGUUCGCGUGGAGCCAUCCUUGAAAUACCACCCUGGCAUGCUUGAGGUUCUAACUCUGGUCCGUGAUCCGGAUCGAGGACAGUGUAUGGUGGGCAGUUUGACUGGGGCGGUCUCCUCCUAAAGAGUAACGGAGGAGUACGAAGGUGCGCUCAGACCGGUCGGAAAUCGGUCGUAGAGUAUAAAGGCAAAAGCGCGCUUGACUGCGAGACAGACACGUCGAGCAGGUACGAAAGUAGGUCUUAGUGAUCCGGUGGUUCUGUAUGGAAGGGCCAUCGCUCAACGGAUAAAAGGUACUCCGGGGAUAACAGGCUGAUACCGCCCAAGAGUUCAUAUCGACGGCGGUGUUUGGCACCUCGAUGUCGGCUCAUCACAUCCUGGGGCUGAAGCCGGUCCCAAGGGUAUGGCUGUUCGCCAUUUAAAGUGGUACGCGAGCUGGGUUUAGAACGUCGUGAGACAGUUCGGUCCCUAUCUGCCGUGGACGUUUGAGAUUUGAGAGGGGCUGCUCCUAGUACGAGAGGACCGGAGUGGACGAACCUCUGGUGUUCCGGUUGUCACGCCAGUGGCAUUGCCGGGUAGCUAUGUUCGGAAAAGAUAACCGCUGAAAGCAUCUAAGCGGGAAACUUGCCUCAAGAUGAGAUCUCACUGGGAACUUGAUUCCCCUGAAGGGCCGUCGAAGACUACGACGUUGAUAGGCUGGGUGUGUAAGCGUUGUGAGGCGUUGAGCUAACCAGUACUAAUUGCCCGUGAGGCUUGACCA
RNAcentral lists this ribosomal RNA (2886 nucleotides) under Pseudomonas aeruginosa. Its description in RNAcentral is "bacterial LSU rRNA". It matches the Rfam family "Bacterial large subunit ribosomal RNA". The record is from RNAcentral. Lineage: Bacteria; Pseudomonadati; Pseudomonadota; Gammaproteobacteria; Pseudomonadales; Pseudomonadaceae.